UACGGAGGAUGCAAGCGUUAUCCGGAAUGAUUGGGCGUAAAGCGUCCGCAGGUGGCACUACAAGUCUGCUGUCAAAGACUGGGGCUCAACCCUGGAAAGGCGGUGGAAACUGUAGAGCUAGAGUACGGUAGGGGCAGAGGGAAUUCCUGGUGUAGCGGUGAAAUGCGUAGAGUUCAGGAAGAACACCGGUGGCGAAAGCGCUCUGCUAGGCCUGUACUGACACUCAUGGACGAAAGCUAGGGGAGCGAAUGGG
This 253-nucleotide ribosomal RNA is filed under the name uncultured bacterium. Its description in RNAcentral is "partial 16S ribosomal RNA". It matches the Rfam family "Bacterial small subunit ribosomal RNA", at positions 524 to 776 of the family's 1533-position model. The record is from RNAcentral.